UAUUUUUUCCUCAGUUAGUCCAAAACAUUGCAGAAGUGCUAUAGGGAGCUGUAAUUCUUCGGAUCACUAUUCGCUGUAGAAAAUACAUAAUUUUCUCUUAAUAUAAGGGUCUUAAAACACUGGUCCUCUGUAAUACCAAGAAAA
Molecule: non-coding RNA, 144 nt
Organism: Tinamus guttatus (white-throated tinamou)
Lineage: Eukaryota; Metazoa; Chordata; Aves; Tinamiformes; Tinamidae
Source: RefSeq, a predicted model, not a curated record